RNAcentral lists this ribosomal RNA (1050 nucleotides) under Triticum aestivum (bread wheat). RNAcentral's name for it is "partial small subunit ribosomal RNA". Lineage: Eukaryota; Viridiplantae; Streptophyta; Magnoliopsida; Poales; Poaceae. The record is from RNAcentral.
AUGAAGGUGCUCUGCUCUGCGUGCGAGGCCCCCGAGGCGCGCGUACUCUGCUGCGCCGACGAGGCCGCCCUCUGCGCGCGCUGCGACCGCGACGUGCACGACGCCAACCGCCUCGCCGGCAAGCACCACCGCCUGCCCCUCCUCUCCGCCGCCUCCAACCCGCCCGCCGUGUCCGCGCCAAACUGUGACAUAUGCCAGGAGGGCCACGCCUACUUCUUCUGCGUGGAGGACCGCGCGCUGCUCUGCCGGAGCUGCGACGUCGCCGUGCACACCGCCAACGCCUUCGUCUCCGCGCACCGGAGGUUCCUCCUCACCGGCGUCCAGGUCAGUCUCGAGCCCGACGAACAAGAAGAACCAGUGCCAGAGCCGGAGCCCGAGCCGCAACCGCCCAACAACGCCUCGUCGGCUCCCCUGCCACCGCCGAUGUGCCACAGGAAGAGGAGCCCGACGCCGCUCUACAGCGACGGAGAUAUCGACUGGGCGGCCGGCCCGGACGUCGGCAUCACCGGGAACUUGCCCGACUGGUCGGUCAUCGAUGAGCAGUUCGGCAGCGGUACCCCGGCGUUGAGGCCCGCGGAGCCGGAGGUAAUCAAAGCCCCUCCGAGGAAGAGUCCCCGGGUGGCCGUCACGGCGGCGAGCGCGGCACUUUUUGGCGGGAGCAUGCCGGACUGGCCGCUGGACGAGUUCUUCGGGUUCACCGAGUUCAACUCCGGCUUCGGAUUCGCAGAAAAUGGCACGUCCAAGGCCGACAGCGGGAAGCUCAGCUCGCCGAACCGCCGUUCGAUGUCGUCGUCCUCCUCCGGCAACGCCACCCAAAACGCGCAAGAUUUCUUCGGCCAGGUGCCGGAGGUCCACUGGUCGAGGUCGACCAUGCCGGAGCUCCCCUCCCCGCCCACGGCCUCAGGCCUCCACUGGCAGGGAGACCCGCACUACGGCCCUGCCUCCGACUCCGGGGCCGUGUUCGUGCCCGACAUCUGCUCCCCGGAGAACCCCUUCCGGUGCUUCACGGCCGGCGCCGAUCAGCAGCUCAAGCGCCGGCGGCGAUGCUAA